AUGCGUCUUAUAUGUGAUGGGUGUGUUCCCAUCAAGUCGAUGGUGGGGUUGAUGUGCCCGUCGAUUCGUGAUCCGCUGGCUGAGCUCAUAUUCUCAAUGGCGGACUGGUGUUCUAUGUUAGUCGGAGCCAUUGUAUGUGGUUGUGCAGUUGCUGAUGCACAGGAGGCGUCCGUGGUGUCAGUUCUUCAUCGUCCAUGCUUAUCUUCUAUAUGCUCUAGCAGCCAGGUGACUACAUAUUACCUUUUCUAUCAAUUCGACCACCUUCUCCUUCUUCACGAGGAUCGGCGGGUCAACAUCGAUGCCCAUGUUAGCGGCAGUGCCCGCUAUGAUUCUCAUGGCGGACUCGAUGGUUUUGCAGUUCAAGUUAGGCAACUUCUCCUGGGCGAUCGUGCGUACUUGGUCGCUGUGGCUCCUUUGAGCCUUUUUCGACGCCUGGGAAUCAGAAUUAAUAAAAUGGAGAUAAGGAACCAUGUAGUUCACUGA
RNAcentral lists this ribosomal RNA (483 nucleotides) under Triticum aestivum (bread wheat). RNAcentral's name for it is "partial small subunit ribosomal RNA". The record is from RNAcentral. Lineage: Eukaryota; Viridiplantae; Streptophyta; Magnoliopsida; Poales; Poaceae.